UACGUAGGGUGCGAGCGUUGUCCGGAAUUAUUGGGCGUAAAGAGCUCGUAGGCGGUUUGUCGCGUCGACUGUGAAAACCUACAGCUUAACUGUGGGCUUGCAGUCGAUACGGGCAGACUUGAGUUCGGUAGGGGAGACUGGAAUUCCUGGUGUAGCGGUGAAAUGCGUAGAGAUCAGGAGGAACACCCGUGGCGAAGGCGGCGCCCUGGUCCGUUACUGACGCUGAGACGCGAAAGCGCGGGGAGCGAACGGG
RNAcentral lists this ribosomal RNA (253 nucleotides) under uncultured bacterium. RNAcentral describes it as "partial 16S ribosomal RNA". It matches the Rfam family "Bacterial small subunit ribosomal RNA", at positions 524 to 776 of the family's 1533-position model. The record is from RNAcentral.